Molecule: transfer-messenger RNA, 357 nt
Filed under: Desulfobacteraceae bacterium
Lineage: Bacteria; Pseudomonadati; Thermodesulfobacteriota; Desulfobacteria; Desulfobacterales; Desulfobacteraceae
Also listed under: 1 other name
Rfam family: transfer-messenger RNA
About the family: Bacterial tmRNA, also known as 10Sa RNA or SsrA, is named for its dual tRNA and mRNA-like properties. Its role is to liberate the mRNA from a stalled ribosome.
Source: RNAcentral
GGGGGCGAAACGGCUUCGACGGGGAUAGUUGAAGUCAAGGUUGCAUGCCGAGGUACCAGCUGCUCGUAAAAACGGUUGGGAUAAACACAAACGCAGACGAUUAUUCGUAUGCCCUAGCCGCGUAAGCGGCUAGCGUCCCGUGGGUUUAUGCCCGCGAAACCCGACCGGGGCGUCGACUCAGUGGGCUAGCCGAUCCGGGUUCCUGCAAACCGGUUAGGUGAAAACUUUUGCAGGUGUGUUUUCGAGGAGUCUUGCUCGAUUACGAAUCGAAAGCGAAAAAUUUUAGAUCGAGAUAUGCAUGUAGACGCCUUGACGGAAUGUUUCCGGACGGGGGUUCGACUCCCCCCGCCUCCACCA